CACAUAAAUAGAUAAUCAAGACAUUUGCUUUUAAUAUUAUUAGCCAAGAAUUGAAAUAAAUUAUAAAGAUUAUGGUGAUCUAAACUUGGUAUAUUAUAUAAUUAAAUUAUAUGAUUAUAAUGAAGUUUGAUUAGUAUAAUUUAUACUAGUAAUUGAAACUAUGAAUUUAUAAUUUGUAGAUUCAUAAAAUGUUCAAAUAUGGUCUUCGGCUUCAAGUGUAUUGUAGAAUUAUCAAGAAUAUAUUCAAGAGAGAUUAAAAAUAUUGUUUAAAGAAAUGAGAGCUUAUUCAAGAAUAAGUGCUUGUAAUGAAACUAAGUUUAAAGUGUUUCAAGUGCUAGGAGCGGCGCAUCCAAGGCUCGAGGAGGACAACCGAAGCAAGCUUGAAGAGGUUUGAAUUCAAUCACUUAAGAUUAAGGAGUUGACGGCAUGACGGCAGACAUGGAGCUCCACAUUCUCCCGUUCUAUUAUAUGAUGAAGUAUUAUAUGUUGCUGUUUUUGGUAAAUAUAUCUUGCUACUAACCAACUUAGCCUCUUCCAAUUUUGGUGGGUCGAGACUUUAUAUAUAUUGGUUUAUGAUCAUGCAUUUUGAUGACGGCUGUGACCGAAUAUAUAUAUAUUUUGUUUACCGUAUGUGUAGUUACGAGCUGUGCCUCGAACACGUUAAUUAUACUUUUAAACUUGAUGGUUUUGUAUGUACUCCAUCUUUUUAUAUAUAUAAAUAUGAUGCUUAGAUAAAGUUAUUAUUGAA
This is a long non-coding RNA of Salvia miltiorrhiza (redroot sage), 748 nucleotides long. RefSeq lists it as uncharacterized. The transcript has 2 exons. NCBI's taxonomy places the organism in Eukaryota, Viridiplantae, Streptophyta, Magnoliopsida, Lamiales, Lamiaceae. The record is from RefSeq and is a predicted model, not a curated record.